This is a transfer RNA of Colletotrichum sublineola, 104 nucleotides long. It matches the Rfam family "tRNA". Rfam says of the family: Transfer RNA (tRNA) molecules are approximately 80 nucleotides in length. The record is from Rfam. Lineage: Eukaryota; Fungi; Ascomycota; Sordariomycetes; Glomerellales; Glomerellaceae.
GGUCUGGUGGUGUAGUUGGUUAUCACGUCAGUCUAACAGUUCGAGGUCCAACUCCCCUCGGCUGAGCACACUGAAGGUCUCCGGUUCAAGUCCGGGCUAGAUCA